This 211-nucleotide ribosomal RNA is filed under the name uncultured bacterium. RNAcentral's name for it is "partial 16S ribosomal RNA". It matches the Rfam family "Bacterial small subunit ribosomal RNA", at positions 1290 to 1500 of the family's 1533-position model. The record is from RNAcentral.
AGUUCGGAUUGUAGUCUGCAACCCGACUACAUGAAGCUGGAAUCGCUAGUAAUCGCGGAUCAGAAUGCCGCGGUGAAUACGUUCCCGGGUCUUGUACACACCGCCCGUCACACCAUGGGAGUCGGAAAUGCCCGAAGUCUGUGACCCAACCGAAAGGAGGGAGCAGCCGAAGGCAGGUCGGAUGACUGGGGUGAAGUCGUAACAAGGUAAC